Molecule: ribosomal RNA, 468 nt
Filed under: uncultured bacterium
Lineage: Bacteria
Description: partial 16S ribosomal RNA
Rfam family: Bacterial small subunit ribosomal RNA
Source: RNAcentral
GACGAACGCUGGCGGCGUGCUUAACACAUGCAAGUCGAACGGAAAGGCCCUGCUUUUGUGGGGUGCUCGAGUGGCGAACGGGUGAGUAACACGUGAGUAACCUGCCCUUGACUUUGGGAUAACUUCAGGAAACUGGGGCUAAUACCGGAUAGGAGCUCCUGCUGCAUGGUGGGGGUUGGAAAGUUUCGGCGGUUGGGGAUGGAUUCGCGGCUUAUCAGCUUGUUGGUGGGGUAGUGGCUUACCAAGGCUUUGACGGGUAGCCGGCCUGAGAGGGUGACCGGCCACAUUGGGACUGAGAUACGCCCCAGACUCCUACGGGAGGCAGCAGUGGGGAAUAUUGCACAAUGGGCGGAAGCCUGAUGCAGCAACGCCGCGUUCGUGAUGACGGCCUUCGGGUUGUAAACCGCUUUCGCCUGUGACGAAGCGUGAGUGACGGUAAUGGGUAAAGAAGCACCGGCUAACUACGUG